CCUACGGGUGGCUGCAGUAAGGAAUAUUGGUCAAUGGAGGAAACUCUGAACCAGCCAUCCCGCGUGAAGGAUGAAGGGGCUCUGCCUUGUAAACUUCUUUUGUCUGGGGCGAAAAAGCUCGAUUUAUCGAGAACUGACGGUACCAGAAGAAUAAGCACCGGCUAACUCCGUGCCAGCAGCCGCGGUAAUACGGAGGGUGCCGGCGUCAUCCGGAAUCACUGGGUCUUAGGCGUGCGUGGAAGGCAGUGGUGAAAGGCUGUGGCUUAACCAUGGAAUUGCCAUUGAGACUGCAGAGCUUGAGUGAGGUUGAGGUUGGCGGAAUGUGACAUGUAGCGGUGAAAUGCUUAGAUAUGUCAUGGAACACCGAUUGCGAAGGCAGCUGACUGGACCUAUAUUGACGCUGAGGCACGAAAGCGUGGGGAGCGAACAGGAUUAGAUACCCUUGUAGUC
Molecule: ribosomal RNA, 450 nt
Filed under: uncultured bacterium
Lineage: Bacteria
Description: partial 16S ribosomal RNA
Rfam family: Bacterial small subunit ribosomal RNA
Source: RNAcentral